CAUACUUGGGGUUUCUCGUGUCAGAGGAACCACUUAACACCGAACGGUGGGCGUCUGAUUUACAUCACGGUCUCAAGGUGCGCCUGUCAUUUAGAAAUGACUCGACUCUAUCCUUCUUCCUGGCUGUAUGAUAUUCUCCUGUCCUUCUUCCUGGCCGUAUAGUACUCCGUUGCGUGUGAGCACUGCGUCUCCUGUACCCAUUUAUCUGCUGAUGGUGCUGCGUGGUUUGUAGGCGGAUGCGGUAAUCAGCAGCCCCCAUCCGGCCUGGGGAGCAGCGUUGAAAUCCGCAUUCCGCAGAGGGCUCGUUUUCCAACUGCGGGGCGGGGAAGGCAUUUUCGUGUCGAAUAACGCGCUGCUCCCUCUCCCCACAGAUGGGCAACCCCGGCCGAAGCCGCCGCCGUUUCACCCACAGCCCGGGAACCCCGGCCAUGGUGGAAGCAUCUACCCACGGAUAAAGCCGCAGCCGCCCCGGCAGCCCGGAGACGAGGACACCCACGGCGGUGGAGGACACUGGAACAACGCGGACGAAGGGUACCAGCCGCCCCGGCCCAAGCCGCCUGCAGCAGGAGGUGCAGGAGGAGGAGGAGCCGGAGGCGGCGGCUAUAACAGCUACGGGGACACGCAAGGUACUGCUUUGCAGCAUGAGGGCGCCGGGAGGGUGUGGCGGGUGUGGAGUGGGUCCCGAGUUCCCAGCCGCCCGCUGCCCCGCACCCUGAAGCUGUCGGCCAGGGACUUGGGGGCCUCUCUGUGCCGGGGUGUGAGGGGGCAGAGAAUGUAACUGGGAGCCAACAGCCCGGGACCAAGAUGCUCGGUAGGAAGAGGCCAGCCAGCCGCCUGCCUCCCUUGGGCUGGGGAGCCCGAUAGCCCGCUGGAAAAG
Molecule: long non-coding RNA, 877 nt
Filed under: Fukomys damarensis (Damara mole-rat)
Lineage: Eukaryota; Metazoa; Chordata; Mammalia; Rodentia; Bathyergidae
Description: lncRNA (ENSFDAG00000031599.1)
Source: RNAcentral